GAAAGGUGAAGACUUGUUCCUUUUGAAGCAGAAGGGUCUCUCAUUAAAGAGACAAAAUAUUGUCCAUUAAUUAUUCAACUAAACUUUGUUAUAUGUGUGUUUGGUUUGUUGAAAGGCAGUCUGUGCUUUCAAAGAGUAUUCAGGCAAGUGUAAUGAGAGGUGAUGGAAGGAAAGUGAAAAGUGGAAUGAUGGAGGAGAUGCAUCAGAAGCAUCCCACAGGAGAAAGUAUUUUCACUAUGGAAGUGCUGCCACCCCCUGCCCCAUGUAAGUGCUGAGGGAAGCAAGCACUAGCAAAAUAAUUUUUUGCUAGCAGGUCAUGGUCUGGGCUAUCAAGAAUUUCUUUUACUCAUCUCACCCUAUGAAUUAUUUAAGUGGACUUUGUACAGGUGAUACCACUGUCACACAAGCAGUUAAUUUAAUCCCACUGUGAUGAGACAGCAGCCAGUGCCAGGCACAGUGUGGCCACUGUCUGUCCCCAGUGACGACACUGGGCACUUGCACUCUGACCUCUGAGGGCAUCCAAUGAGCCAGGAGCAGCUGCUGCCAAGUGUUGCAUCAAUCUCACCUUACAAGUGACCAACAAAGUGCUGAAACCCACUUUUUUUCCCUUGUAACAGCAAAACUUCCUUACCGCGUAAAACUGCAGUUAAGCUUUAUUGAGUGAUUUGUUCUGAUAGAGCUCACAGCCUUUGCUCAUAGCUCCCCCAGUUAUGUCCUAGCCAAGGGCUGAAGGGCAUGCAGGGCCUGAUUUUUCAAAGGUGUUUGUCUGGGAUGAAGGAGAGGAAGCAGUGGCUCUUUACAGAAUAUCCCAAACAGCAUUCCACUAAUUUAAAUGCAAAUCAGUUCUGAAUCUGCAGGAUAUCAUGAGACUCCACAGCAGUCCCAGUAUUUAAGGAUGGUUUCAGGUGUUCCAGACAACAGUAGAAGCAUGACACUUCACCUGGAUGUGACCUCAAGAUUGAGAAAGUGGAAGACUAUCCCAGCCAGCACCUGCAGGGCCCUUGCACUGAAAACUCAGCAGUGGAAACAAACUGGGAGGGCAUCAGGUGCUCAGCUUUAUCAAAGGAGAGGACUUUUAGGUGUCAGAAGCCACAAUGUCAGGAAAGAGCUUCCAGGGACUGAAGGAACAAGCUGA
This 1135-nucleotide long non-coding RNA is filed under the name Catharus ustulatus (Swainson's thrush). Its description in RNAcentral is "lncRNA (ENSCUSG00005001783.1)". Lineage: Eukaryota; Metazoa; Chordata; Aves; Passeriformes; Turdidae. The record is from RNAcentral.